CUUGGUCAUUUAGAGGAAGUAAAAGUCGUAACAAGGUUUCCGUAGGUGAACCUGCGGAAGGAUCAUUCAUAAUCGAGUGUUUUAUGGCACUCUUUAAAAAAUCCAUAUCCACCUUGUGUGCAACGUUUUUGAACUCUCUCUGGCGUUAAAAAACCAAGAGGGUUUGAUUAACUUAACUUAACACCUUUAAAGCAGUUUGUCUGAAUAUCUAUUUCUGAAUAAACAUAAUUCAAAAAUACAACUUUCAACAACGGAUCUCUUGGCUCUCGCAUCGAUGAAGAACGCAGCGAAAUGCGAUACGUAAUGUGAAUUGCAGAAUUCAGUGAAUCAUCGAAUCUUUGAACGCACAUUGCGCUCUCUGGUAUUCCGGAGAGCAUGCUUGUUUGAGUAUCAGUAAACACCUCAAUUUCAUGAUUCUUAAUUUUGAAAUUGGACUUGAGCAGAUCCCAACGUACAUUUAACUGUGUGGAGGGUUGCUUCAAAUGCAGGUGCAGCCGAUCAUUCUUCUGGGCUAAAAGCAUUAUCUAGUUAAUCCCGUAAAACGGAUUAUUCACUUUAUUGCUGCAGCUUACCCUAUAUAAAAGGAAGACAUGGCCAUUGUGCUGACUGAUGCAGGAAUUCUCAGAGGUCUGUAAAGACUUUUGAAAACUCGAUCUCAAAUCAAGUAAGACUACCCGCUGAACUUAAGCAUAUCAAUAAGCGGAGGA
This 707-nucleotide ribosomal RNA is filed under the name uncultured fungus. RNAcentral describes it as "eukaryotic LSU rRNA". The stretch from base 240 to 393 matches the Rfam family "5.8S ribosomal RNA". Lineage: Eukaryota; Fungi. The record is from RNAcentral.